GUUGGGAGCAAACAAGUUCUCGGAGAGGCAGCCGAUAGGAACGGCAGCGCAGAGCGACAAGGACUACAAGGAACCUCCACCGGCUCCCUUGUUCGAGCCCGGGGAGCUCACCUCUUGGUCCUUCUACAGGGCUGGGAUAGCGGAGUUCAUGGCUACCUUCCUCUUCCUCUACAUCACCAUCCUCACGGUCAUGGGCGUGGUCAAGUCCAACAGCAAGUGCUCCACGGUGGGCAUCCAAGGGAUUGCCUGGGCCUUCGGUGGCAUGAUCUUUGCCUUGGUCUACUGUACCGCCGGGAUCUCUGGUAAGGGAUCUGCUUUCCCUUCCAUUUGGGUCUCUGAAACCUUUUGGUCGACUCACUUCUGCUAAAUCGUCAGGUGGCCACAUCAACCCCGCGGUGACCUUCGGGCUGUUCCUGGCGAGGAAGCUGUCGCUGACCAGGGCUCUGUUCUACAUGGUGAUGCAGUGCCUGGGCGCCAUCUGCGGUGCCGGUGUGGUCAAGGGGUACCAGAAGGGGCUCUAUGAGAGCAACGGUGGCGGAGCUAACGUCGUGGCUCCUGGCUACACCAAGGGUGAUGGCCUGGGUGCUGAGAUCGUCGGCACCUUCAUCCUCGUCUACACUGUUUUCUCUGCUACUGACGCCAAAAGAAACGCCAGGGACUCUCAUGUUCCCGUGAGUACAUGUCCAAGUUCUUGAUGUUGACCAUGGUUGAUCUGAUCUAACAAGUGUUACGGAUCUGUGCAGAUUUUGGCUCCCCUCCCCAUUGGGUUUGCCGUGUUCCUUGUCCACCUGGCUACCAUCCCCAUCACCGGCACCGGCAUCAACCCUGCCAGAAGCCUUGGCGCUGCCAUCAUCUACAACAAGAAGCAUGCCUGGGAUGAUCAUGUAAGUGUGUCUGUGGAACCCUCACAAGCCUCAGAUGACACUACUUACUAACUGUCCUGUUUCCUUGUCUCAGUGGAUCUUUUGGGUUGGACCCUUCAUUGGAGCUGCUCUUGCUGCCAUCUACCACCAGAUAGUCAUCAGGGCGAUCCCAUUCAAGAGCAGGCCCUGAGAGAGCCUUCCAUCUCCUCUCAUAAUCACCUGUCUCAUGAUUCUGUGUGCCUUUCUUUUAUCAUGGCUUGUUUCUGGCUUGGAGUGUGUUCCAGAACUGUGAUU
RNAcentral lists this long non-coding RNA (1157 nucleotides) under Musa acuminata (dwarf banana). RNAcentral's name for it is "long non-coding RNA (MACU_LNC007953)". Lineage: Eukaryota; Viridiplantae; Streptophyta; Magnoliopsida; Zingiberales; Musaceae. The record is from RNAcentral.